AAUUUGAUGCCCCUGUAAUUGUUGCAGCACUGGAUGUCCCCUUUGUUCUUGUACAGGGGCACCACUGUACUCCACCUCCACUCAUCCGGCAUCCUUAUAGUCCUGAAAAUCACAUUGAACAGCCUAGUGAGCCACUCCCUCCAGCUUUACCCAUGCACUUCCAGAAUUCCACCGGGAUCUCGUCAGGCCCGGUCGGUCGACCCCUGCUCAUCCUACGCAACGCCCCUAAGACCUCCUCUACCCUAAUGCGCCUGCAGUANNN
This 262-nucleotide long non-coding RNA is filed under the name Nicotiana benthamiana. RNAcentral describes it as "long non-coding RNA (NBEN_LNC027322)". Lineage: Eukaryota; Viridiplantae; Streptophyta; Magnoliopsida; Solanales; Solanaceae. The record is from RNAcentral.